CGCACGUUGAAAAGUGCGGGGAUGAGGUGUGGGUAGCGGAGAAAUUCCAAUCGAACUUGGAGAUAGCUGGUUCUCUCCGAAAUAGCUUUAGGGCUAGCCUCGAGGUAAAGAGUCAUGGAGGUAGAGCACUGUUUGGACUAGGGGCCCUUCUCGGGUUACCGAAUUCAGAUAAACUCCGAAUGCCAUGUACUUAUACUCGGGAGUCAGACUGCGAGUGAUAAGAUCCGUAGUCGAAAGGGAAACAGCCCAGACCACCAGUUAAGGUCCCCAAAUAUAUGUUAAGUGGAAAAGGAUGUGGGGUUGCUUAGACAACCAGGAUGUUGGCUUAGAAGCAGCCACCAUUGAAAGAGUGCGUAAUAGCUCACUGGUCGAGUGACCCCGCGCCGAAAAUGUACCGGGGCUAAACAUAUUACCGAAACUGUGGAUGAACCUCUUUAGAGGUUCGUGGUAGGAGAGCGU
Molecule: ribosomal RNA, 459 nt
Filed under: Listeria monocytogenes
Lineage: Bacteria; Bacillati; Bacillota; Bacilli; Caryophanales; Listeriaceae
Description: partial 23S ribosomal RNA
Rfam family: Bacterial large subunit ribosomal RNA
Source: RNAcentral